Physella acuta is the source of this 340-nucleotide long non-coding RNA. RefSeq lists it as uncharacterized. Lineage: Eukaryota; Metazoa; Mollusca; Gastropoda; Physidae. The record is from RefSeq and is a predicted model, not a curated record.
AAAAAAAUGUAUUUCGACUCAAACACAUUUUAAUUUACAUCAAGUUUAGACAUUAAAGAAGAGACACCAUGUUAAUUUUGACAGUACUGUGUUUAUUCGGAGCAGUAUGCUUCGCUCUCGCCGAUGACAAUGUCGACUGUCACGACAUAAUGUGCGAUCGUCAGUACCACCCCGAGUGCGGCAGUGAUGGCAUAACCUACAGGAGCUUUUGUAAUCUGCUGAUCUGCAAUGAAGAGAAGGGAACGCAGGUCGAGAUAGUCUCAGACGGGCAGUGUAAAUAGACAGUCGCGCAGCUAGGUCGGGUGUCACCCUAAUUGAGUCACCCUCCCCCUGGAUAGAA